GGCAGUGUCUCUUCGGAGCAGGGAGACAGGUGGUGCAUGGUUGUCGUCAGCUCGUGUCGUGAGAUGUUGGGUUAAGUCCCGCAACGAGCGCAACCCUUAUCCUUAGUUACCAGCACGUAAAGGUGGGGACUCUAGGGAGACCGCCGGGGACGACUCGGAGGAAGGUGGGGACGACGUCAAAUCAUCAUGCCCCUUAUGUCUUGGGCUACACACGUGCUACAAUGGCCGCAACAGAGGGAAGCGAGAGCGCAAGCUGGAGCAAAACCCUAAAAAGCGGUCCCAGUUCGGAUUGUGGGCUGCAACCCGCCCACAUGAAGUCGGAGUUGCUAGUAAUCGCGAAUCAGCAUGUCGCGGUGAAUGCGUUCCCGGGCCUU
RNAcentral lists this ribosomal RNA (374 nucleotides) under uncultured Lachnospiraceae bacterium. RNAcentral describes it as "bacterial SSU rRNA". It matches the Rfam family "Bacterial small subunit ribosomal RNA", at positions 1007 to 1382 of the family's 1533-position model. The record is from RNAcentral. Lineage: Bacteria; Bacillati; Bacillota; Clostridia; Lachnospirales; Lachnospiraceae.